RNAcentral lists this unclassified non-coding RNA (438 nucleotides) under Hevea brasiliensis (rubber tree). Lineage: Eukaryota; Viridiplantae; Streptophyta; Magnoliopsida; Malpighiales; Euphorbiaceae. The record is from RNAcentral.
UGCAAGUGUCUCCCCAAUGUCAACAAUCUUUCGAUUAAGGAGUAAAAUCAAAGCUUGAGUAAUAUGAACACGUAGUCCAGAAGGCAAAGUCCGAGCCGAAGAACGAAGCAACUGAGCUAACUCUUUAGGGAAAUUAACAAGCUUUUUAGGAAAAAACGGAGUUACAUGUGAUAAAAACAUAGCACGGUCACCUAAGUCCUUAGAAACAGUCGGGUCAGUUGAUACACCGCUAAGGGAAGUGAAAUUUAGUGCUGCUUGUUGUUCAAAGAGAUCCAUGGACGACUUGAAUUGAUUGUAUACUAAUGUUAGUUCAGCUUCGUAUCCUUCUGGAUCGCAUUUCAUCUUUGAUUGUAGAGUUGGUAAGCUUAGUUUUCCCGAUGUUAGACCUGAGGCUGCUAUUCCUUCUGCCGUCAGCUCCGACGGCGCGUGACGGCCGGA